AUUUAAAUAGUUUAAUUAGAAAAUUUUAAUUUGUGGAAUUAAAGAUAUAAAUUUUAUUUUAAAUA
Molecule: transfer RNA, 65 nt
Filed under: Brachymeria sp. ZJUH_2016006
Lineage: Eukaryota; Metazoa; Arthropoda; Insecta; Hymenoptera; Chalcididae
Description: tRNA-His
Source: RNAcentral